UUAUCAUCUUCUUUUUACCAAAUUGUCUCCUCCAGUUAGCGUGUGCAGAUGGGUGGAGCUAGCCGCCCCCCAUUUCCUUGUUAAAAAGUUCCAAAGCAGGAAAGAAAAUGGGUAAUUACUUAUAAACAGAAAGGAAGUAAAUAAUAUAUAUGGGGAUGGAAAGAAAAGAUUUACAGACUCGAAAGUCGAAAGUCGAAAGUCGAAAGCACAUGAAAUUACAGUAGAAGAAGAAUAUUAGUAGAUGUAGUAAGGUUGAGGUGGUCACGAGAAAGGACCAUAAAAAGGGGGGACUGUAAUGGCGUCAGCUGUUGCGUGAAGCGGGGUUGAGGGGAAGGAAGGAGGAUCUAACAGACCCCGGGGAGAAGGGUGUACGACUAGUGUC
RNAcentral lists this long non-coding RNA (382 nucleotides) under Carica papaya (papaya). Its description in RNAcentral is "long non-coding RNA (CPAP_LNC008509)". Lineage: Eukaryota; Viridiplantae; Streptophyta; Magnoliopsida; Brassicales; Caricaceae. The record is from RNAcentral.